Camellia sinensis is the source of this 3353-nucleotide non-coding RNA. NCBI's taxonomy places the organism in Eukaryota, Viridiplantae, Streptophyta, Magnoliopsida, Ericales, Theaceae. The record is from RefSeq and is a predicted model, not a curated record.
UGUGAUGUUUGUGAGAGAAAAAGUGAAAUAAUUAUGAGGUUGGAUCUGAUAUUUUGUUGUAUUCGUUUUUUUGAUUUUGUAAAAUUUUUGCGUUGUAGUGGAAAAAAUAAAAAAUAAAUGCCAAAUCCAAGUUAUUUUCUUGGUUUAUUUGUGUUUAUUCUUCUAGAAAUUUACCCAAGUCAGAAAGUUAAUUAAAUAUUUUUCUGGGAAAACAAGCAAACCUGACACGAAUAUCUAGCAAAAACAUAAUUUAGAGUUUGAUAAAACAUCUUUUUGUAUGUUGGUGUGUUUGUGUUAAUUCUUCUAGAUAUUUUAACAAUUGGUUUUUACUCUUUCCAAGUUAGAAAUUUAAUUUCAUAUUAUAAUGCUUUUCAUGGAAACAAGUAGACAUAAAUAUCCAACAAAAACAUAAUUUAGAGAUUGAUUUUGCAUGUUGGUGUGUUUGUUUUAAUUCUGAUUCGCAAGUGGUCGACUGAUAGGUUGAUGUAACUUGGGGUCCUUGUAUAUACACAGAGACUAGAGCAAUUUGGUCACCUGGUUAAGCCACUCUUCAUCUAAUCGGUUAUCAUUUCAAAGGUUUGGGAGACUCAACUGGGAUGAGAGACAUGCCCCCUCAAUCUCCGGGUUUACUUGGAAGUUGGAAGUUUUGAUGGCAUGAGUGGAGUCGGAAAAAGAAACUAAGCAAAUAUGGCAAAGAAACAAUUCGAACUUGCAAUAUUGAGAAUGAGUCACAGCUCAAGUGAUCAAAUGGCUCUUCGCAACCUAGCCGACCAAAUAACUCUUCACAACUAAACUCGCCAAAUGAAACUUCACAGCCUAGUCAAUCGAAUGGCUCCACACUCUAGUUGGUCACAUCCCUCACAUGCUCCCUCACAGGUUCUACAUCCUCAACCUCAAGAAUCAGAGAUUAACCCUCACUUUGAUGAUGAUUUAGAUGAGGACUGGUUAAGGGAAGAAGAAAUGCAUUGUAUAGGUAUUAUUAGAUUUUUAGUCGAGGUACAAACUAUUAACCCUCACUUUGACGAUGAUUUAGAUGAAGACUAGUUAAGGGAAGAAGAAAUGCAAUGUAUAGGUAUUAUUAGAUUUUUAGUCGAGGUACAAACUAUUAACCCUCACUUUGACGAUGAUUUAGAUGAAGACUAGUUAAGGGAAGAAGAAAUGCAAUGUAUAGGUAUUAUUAGAUUUUUAGUUGAGGUACAAACUACAAGUCAACCUUCACUUCCACGAUUUAUUUCAUUGUUGUUUUGUAAUAGGUGAAUUGACCAAGCAAAACACACGGGAAAUUACACGUAUGGUCGAUGUGUGGAAUCUGGUUCUAGAAGAACACAUUAGGCUCACCUUCAAUAGGAUUUGCAGGUUGUUUCUAAAGAGGUUGGUAUAUUCAAUCGCUUCGUAAGCACUGUUGCUAGGAAGCCACACUUAUGCCCAAUCAAGUACAAGAAUUGGCAUGAAGUGCCAAUUCCGUGUAAAGAAAUUUGUUGGAAUAUCAUCGAGGUAAUAUUCUAACUACAAGUAUUUUGUGAUAAUUGUACUAUAAGAGAGAGAUCACAUGCAUGUGAAAAAGACAAUCUUACAUGCUAUUGCAGUUGAAGUAAAAAAUUUAUGAGAAUUAGGCAAAGAAAUGCACAAAUUAAGUUUAUAUUGAUGUAUUGAUAAUUCUAAGAAUGUUCAUAACAUGAAAAAAAAAUAAUUGUAGUUCAAGUUUGCCAUUCCUCAAGAUGAGAGAAGGGAUAUGAUUAGGCAUCAAACAUUGAAGUCAAUGGGUGAGAAAUGGAGAAAUUGGAAAUGUAGUAUAAAAGCAAAGUACUAUGAUGAGACAAAGAUAGAAGCACAUAUAGUAGCUACUGCGCCUUUUAACGGUUAACCAUGAGCACUAUGCUGACCUUGUCGUGUAUUGGUUUUCAAAGGAAGGACAGGAACUUAGUACGACCAAUAAGGAAAGCUGGCGAGAGCAAACAAGUGCACAUACAGCAAGACCUAAAACUUAUGCACAACAUGCAUAUGAUAUGGAGUAAAAAGGUAAGAUUGCACUAGAUCGAGCAAAAUUAUAUAUACUGUUUCACAAAAGGAAGGAUGGGACACCAGACAACGAAGAGGCUGCUACAAAAAUUAAAAAAACUAGAAGAUUUGAUGAGGUCACAAUCAAGUAGCUCCGAAGGAAAUGUUAGUGGACGUAUAUCUUGGUCACCAAAUGAUAUUUAUUCUCAAGUGAUGGGUAAAGGUACAGAGCGUCAUGGUCGUGUUCGAGGUUUAGGAUUUGGGCCCAUUCCUUCCAAUCAUGGCUUCAUGUCUAAUAGUUGUGACCACUUAGGAAUGGCUUCAAAUGAAGAGAGACGAGAGACAAACAUUAUAACUGAGUUGAAGGAACAACUAAAAACUCAAGUUGAUUAGUUGCAAACUCAAGGUUUUCAAUUGCAUGCUCAAGAUGCUGUAAAAAACGCUUUAAAAGAGCAAGUAGCAUUUUUUAUGAGACAGAGAUAUAGUUCUGGUGGUUUGCAGGCGACAUAUGGAUCUAGUGGCAUUCCGGACUAGGCUUCUCCACAAACACACCAGAGAUCCUCUUUUGGGAGUCAUGAAAUGCAACCUUUUAAUCGGGGGGGUUUACUACGCUAGAGUAUGCUUUUUCUCUUGUUAAUUAAAAGGGGUUUGAAUGAUGGUUGCAACCAAAAUAACCUGCAAUGGCCUUAAAUUGGCUGGCAUGUCUGUCCUCUGUCACUGAUGAUGAAGGUUCAGUGACUGAUGCUUGUGGUUUUGGAGAAUCUGGAUAGGAGGGUAGUGGUGGUAGAGUGACUGUUGCAUUGCAGUCAUCAAUGGAGCUUGGGGUUGGCGGGGAUUUCAAGUGUGAGAUGUUUGGUCAUCCCUUGCCCUAUUCCGAGGCCUGUUUUGGCUGAAAUGAUCCACCCCUGUUUUCAUCCCGAAGGCAAGGAAACAGGACAAUAUAAAAGCAUCAAAAUAGAAAUCGUUUUUUAUUGCAGGAAAUAGGACAAUAUGAAAGCAUUAAAGUGGACAUCGCUUCUCGAUUUGAACAUUUUUUUAUGAGUAAUACUUUGAAUUACUAUUGUCAUGUGACAAGUUUGUAUGUACCUUUUAGAUUAUGGUGUAGCUAUUAGUUUGCUAGAAACAUUUGAUUUAUUUUGAUAGAAUAAUGCUAUAUGUAUCAAUUGAUAUACUAACUGGUGUACCAAUUGAUAAUGUGACAUAAUUUAAGAGGUUUUUAGAAUUUCUAAUGUGUCGUAACUAAUGUUGAUACACUAGUUAGUAUGUUAAUUGGUAUCGAUUUUGAUAUGACAAGCUUAUGUAAUGAACCUUUUAAUUAAGGUGUUUUGAAUAUUUUGAGAUUCUAAAAAUGUAAA